Molecule: ribosomal RNA, 529 nt
Filed under: Streptomyces sp. 310H09
Lineage: Bacteria; Bacillati; Actinomycetota; Actinomycetes; Kitasatosporales; Streptomycetaceae
Description: bacterial SSU rRNA
Rfam family: Bacterial small subunit ribosomal RNA
Source: RNAcentral
UAGUGGCGAACGGGUGAGUAACACGUGGGCAAUCUGCCCUGCACUCUGGGACAAGCCCUGGAAACGGGGUCUAAUACCGGAUAACACUGUCCCCCUCCUGGGGGACGGUUGAAAGCUCCGGCGGUGCAGGAUGAGCCCGCGGCCUAUCAGCUUGUUGGUGGGGUAAUGGCCUACCAAGGCGACGACGGGUAGCCGGCCUGAGAGGGCGACCGGCCACACUGGGACUGAGACACGGCCCAGACUCCUACGGGAGGCAGCAGUGGGGAAUAUUGCACAAUGGGCGAAAGCCUGAUGCAGCGACGCCGCGUGAGGGAUGACGGCCUUCGGGUUGUAAACCUCUUUCAGCAGGGAAGAAGCGAAAGUGACGGUACCUGCAGAAGAAGCGCCGGCUAACUACGUGCCAGCAGCCGCGGUAAUACGUAGGGCGCAAGCGUUGUCCGGAAUUAUUGGGCGUAAAGAGCUCGUAGGCGGUCUGUCACGUCGGGUGUGAAAGCCCGGGGCUUAACCCCGGGUCUGCAUUCGAUACGGG